Molecule: long non-coding RNA, 1205 nt
Organism: Glycine soja
Lineage: Eukaryota; Viridiplantae; Streptophyta; Magnoliopsida; Fabales; Fabaceae
Exons: 2
Source: RefSeq, a predicted model, not a curated record
UGGAUUUUUAGUGUUUGUCAUGGUGAUUUUAUUCCUGUUUCGUUUGUUGCCACUUGCCACCUGCUACGAGGCCACAAUUUUCAAUGCCUAAUUGACCAUCAUAUUUAAUUAUUGACCCAUGUUAAAUGACAUGGGGAAUGGCAGUGAGAAAAUUGCAUGACACUGUUCAAAGUAUUUGGUAAUACAUUUAUUAACAAAAUAAUGCUUCCUUUAAUAGACACUGGAUAAGUAGAACUAGGUGUCUAUGAAGACAAUGCAAGAGAUUAUUAGGAGUAGAAAACAUUAAACAUAUGUGUCUUGUGGUGCCUAAUCUUGCUUAUUUUACAGGUAAAACAGCUGUCAGAUUAUAAUUCCUUUAAUGCCAUAAGGCUCACAUUCAACAAACAAUAAAUAUUUACAACCAACCCAUUAACUCAAACAUGAAUGCCUUUUGAAAUAUGCAUGCACAAUUGAGUUGUCAUGAUUAAUAGUAUAUGUUAAUGGACUUAAGAAUGAGAAUUACCUACUUUAUCCAUUGCAUUUUUCAACAUGACUGAUGCAACAAAAAUUUAUGUAACUUCAAGUACAUAUAGUUUUGUUAGUUAUUAAUUGAUGUUGUGUUGCCUAUUCUUGUAGGAUUUGGGGAUUGGUCUUCACUGAUAUACAAUAUACUGUCUUCUUUACUAUUUUUCAGAUGACUCACCAAUUUGUGUUUCUGCAUACCACUUUCUUACAUAGUUAUGAAUUUUUAUUUUUUUUCGUAACCGGGUGUAUCCUUAGGUCAGGAGCCAAGACUAAUACUAGGAUUCAUCUGCAGGGCUGACAUUUUUCAACAUUGGCACGGACCUGGGAUCGAACCAUGAUGACUAGGUUAUCUUUCAACAUGACACACCAUGUUGGUCUUCAAAAUGAAGGGGGCAGUUUCAUUGUAGCAUAAUUUGCUUACCAUAGAUUCAGUUUACAAAUAAGAGCAAAAUGAAAAACUGGUAGUCUUACCUGGUAUUUCUGCUUUUAAUACAUAGCCUUCACCUGUCUGACACCAAUCCACAGUGUUUUGGCUGGAGCUCCUUAAAUGAGAUAACAACACAUCUGACUCAAACUCCCAUAGAGGGAAGGCAUCAGAAGGAUCAAAGAACUUCCCAAACAACAGUGGACUGAAAAGUGAUCCAUCACCAAAAACCUUAUGCACUGUCGGAUUAGUCUGGCUGAAGAAUCGUUUGAAAGCC